This 236-nucleotide long non-coding RNA is filed under the name Elaeis guineensis (African oil palm). Its description in RNAcentral is "long non-coding RNA (EGUI_LNC054097)". The record is from RNAcentral. Lineage: Eukaryota; Viridiplantae; Streptophyta; Magnoliopsida; Arecales; Arecaceae.
GAUCAUUGGAAGAGGAAUUGUCCUGCUUAUAUAGCCAUCCUUGACCAAAACAGGCCUAAGAAUAAGAGAAAGAAGCAAACGGUUGCUUCACAAGGUACUUGUAUGAUAACUCAUUGUAAUUUUUCUAUUUGUGAUACUAUUAUCUGAAUAUUGGAUAUCAAAAGUCUGAUUAAUGUAUGCAAUUUGUUGCAGAGACUGCAGGUAAGUAGAAAGUUUCGAGAGGGCGAGUAGUUUUU